CUGUCUCUGCCUCUGUCUCUCUGUGUCUCUCAAGAAUAAAUAAAUGAAACCUUAAAAAAAAAAAAAAAAAAAAAGAACAAAAUGAAAGAGAGCAAGUCUGGACAGCCAGACCUCUCGGCCUGGUAACCAUUCAACCCCCAGAAUCCCCAGUUUGGUUCAAUGUUAGGAACAUCAGAAUCUCCUGGAAAUCUGUUAAACAGAUUGCUGGGUUCCAGCUCAGAGUUUCUGAUUCAGUAGUACAGGAGGUAGCUGGAGAAUAUGCAUUUCUAACAAGUUCCCCGCUGAGGCUGCUGCUGGUGGUCCAGCACACUUUGAGCCCCACUGCCCUACUGCAAGUUGGGGGGAGUCAUCUUCCACAUUGCCAGCUCUGAGUCCACACCACUGUUGUAAUAUUAAGCAUUUCUGACCAUGGUUCUCAGCCUCUGCUGCACAUGGAAUCACCUGGAGAAUUAUCAAAACAUACUACUACCAACACCCCAGUUAGAGAUAACUGAUUUAAUUGAUCUGAGGUAGUUCUCAGGCAUAGGUUCAAAAAAGCUCCCCAGAUGAUUCUGGUGUGCAGCAGAGGUUGAGAACCUCUGUUCUACAAACUUCAAAUGUUAAGAUAGUUUCAUAUAAGGAAUGAUUUAUGGAGUCACCUUGCUCAGGGCUUGGUACACAGAACAGCUAAGUAAAUAUUAACUGGACAUGAAUCUCUAUAUUUUGCUUAAGAUCUCAAUAGAUUCUGUUCCCUGAGAGGUGUGGAGAACUGCAGCAGUUUACUGUCUUGGCAUUUUCCAUGGGGCCCCCUGAAGAGCUGUGCCUCUCAAGCAUUUUUAAAGCACUUUAUUGAGUGCCUACUCCAUGCCUGCCACAGUGACGGUGCUAAGAGGAAUGAAACACAUUCCUUGCCAUCCGUAAUCCUAGGCCAGCCACCUUCCCAUUCCAGAAUUGCCCAGGAGGGAAGGACAAGUCCCGAAACAGUCAGGAAUUGGUAUGCUCCUGGAUCCAGGUCACAUAGCUGGCCACGUCGGUGUACACACCUGGCUUGUAGCGGUCGCCACAACCUGAACCCCAGCUGAUGAUACCUCGCAGGAUGAGCUGGCGCUCUGAGGCCUCUUCCUCACACACUAGUGGGCCCCCGGAGUCACCCUGGGUCGGGGACACGAGGCUCAGCGCACUUGGUUUGGGGUCUGCACUUGACCGGGUGGAGGGCGCCAAGGCGGCCCACGGACUCACCUGGCAGGCGUCGGUGCCGCCCUCGAGGAAGCCAGCGCAGAGCAUGCCCGGGAUAAAAGAGGCUCCGUGUACUUCGGGGGCGGAGCAGCGCUGGGGAGGGAUGAGCGGCACCUGCGCUUCCUGCAGGAAGCUGGAAUAUUCCCCCGCACCUACGAACCGAGAGCGCUUUCCUCACACUCCUCUCGACUUUGCUUGCCGCCCACUAAUUAGCCGGUGAGGAAGAGAGUUGCUCUUAACACCAUUUUACAGACAAAACAGAGAAGAGCGAGGAUUUGAAUGGGCGGGGCGGAGCAGGACUGCUUUGGAACCCCACUCCCCACUCCCACCCCCCAGUGUCUCAGAACAAUGCUCCCCAGCGAGCGAACCGACUGCUCCAGCGCGAGGCCGGCAUCCUUAGCCGUUGCAUCACAGCGCCCAGAAAGAACCAAGGGAAAGUGUGAUUCCCCCUGGACCCCUUAGGAGAUUUGGAUCCCCGUCCCCAGCAGUGAAGCCCAGGACCUGGCAGGAGCUGACUGCGACGGCCCCCAGUCCUCCCCACGCGCAAGGUCGGCGCCGCCUGUCCCUCGUGGUGCCCAAACUGCGGGUUUUUCUCGCCUACCCCGGGGCCAGAGGUGUCCCUGCCGCCCCCAGCCUUCUGCCUACCCUCGAAUAGGUGGCCCCAGCCGGCCACCUCGCAGAGUGCGGCCUCGGCCUGGGCCUCGGCUGGGCGGGCAGCGCCGCUAGGCAGGCAGACCGGCUGAACGAAAGGCGACGGGAGCGCGCAGCGGCCGUCCGCCGUCUCCUGCAGGCGCAGCAGCGCUAACCAGGCGGGGAGCACGGUGAGCCCCGGGCGCCGGGACUCCGAGCCCGCCUCCGCCCUUUCCCCUGGGCGCCGCGGGGCGCCGCCACGCACCCAGGUCGUGCUGGCACUUCCUGGUAGCUGGCCUCGGAGGCCCACCGCUGACACCGAGCGCCCGAGAGCGCAGCAUCGGCCGCUCCGCGGUAGUCAAGCCCGCGGCCGUGGUAGCAGCGCGCCUCAGUGUCUGGGGAGAGAGGAGACUCCUUGCAGCCCGGAACCACGCUCUCAGCCACUUUCCCCACGCUCCUCCGCCCUUCCUCCCUGGGGGCGGAGCUCCCGCUCCUCUGGGUGCCGACUCACCCACGUCGCAGAAGCGUCCAGCGUAGCCGGUGGGGCAACGGCACAGGCGGUGAGUCUCUGCCUGGAAGCAAGUGCCUCCGUUGAGGCACGGGUUGGUGUGGCAGCCUGGCAGGUGGAGUGCAUUGAGCCACCUCUGGGCCCAAAGACCCCCACAGAGAACUCCCCUUUCCUUGGACACACUACCCUGGGGUUCUAACAGCUUCUCUUCCCGACUCAGGCCAGUUCUCCGCCCAUCCACUCACCCUGGCUGGCCACCAGCUUGCAGUGGACAUCAGGACCCCUGCACUCGCACUUGGCCACACCGGCUGGCUCAAGCCUAUGCCAUAUUUCUUUUUCAUGGAAGAACUGGAGAAGCUGAGGCUCAAAGCACUUCUCUGGGGACAAAGGGGUGAGGGCAGGGGUCUCAGGAGAGGCUGGGAUCAUGCCAAGUCUCUGGGGAUCCAGAGACCUCUUCAGUAGGCCCCGGACUGCCGUGUUUCCUCAGCAUCUCCUCCCCUGCCUUCACCAUCUCCUUACCUCUCUGGCAGUGCUUCCCAGUGAAGUGUUCUGGACAGAUGCAGCGUGGGCCGUCUGGCAUGUUCACACAGGUCCCUCCCUUCUGGCAGGGACUGUGUUUGCUGCAGUGGUCUGAGAGAUGGACACAGUGGAAGUAAGAGUGGGGAGCCUGAAUCAGACAGCCUGGCUCAUGGAGGCCGAGUCCCUACCCAAACCUUGCUUGUCUUGUGAUCUUGGCAUUCCAAGUUUCCAUGUUUUACUUCACCCACCUGUAAAAUGGGGCUACCUUUUCCUAGAACUUUUCCCUCUGGAGGGAUGGAAGAGUCUGGGUGGGCCCAGAAUACCAGGUGUGUAGGGACUGAUGUUACCCAGGAGAGUAACUAGUGGGGAGGAGAGGGCCCUGCACCACCCCCAAAGACUGUGUGUAGCACCUUUCACUUUCUUGGGCUCCAGACAGUAUGCCCAUUGCUGGUCCUGCUCGAAGUUGGGGGUGGUAGCACACCUGUAGAAAGAGAUGAAGCUUCCCUGCUCUGCCCAAGGGGCUGGCCCACCCUUCCCUAAUAGAGCCCCCUCUCUCCACGAAGGAUUCCUUGGGCAGAAAGUGGGCAGAAUCCAUCUCCCCCAGGGCCCUGCUCCAACCCCUUCUGGGGAGUCUUACCAGGGCUGGGGGCCAGGCCGGCCCCUGUGGGUGCAUUUAUGGUACAGUUGCCGGUUGUACUGGAAAGGGAAGUAGCAGGGCUCCCCAGUGACAGUGAGAACUGCAGAGAUAACACACUCCCUGAUGGUAUGCCCCAUGUCCCCCUGCCCAGGUACCACCUCUCACAGUCUGGUUGAAAAAUAGACCCUUGAAACAAUUGCUGUGCCUUCAAGACUGCUUCUUGCUUCAGAGCUUCAGUUCUGUAGUCAGACAUUUGGAGUGGACUCCUGAUUUCACCACCCUACUAGUUGUGUGACCUUGAUUUCACCACCUACUAGUUUGUGACCUUGGGCAAAUUUGCAGCCCCCAGGCCUAGAACAGUGCUUGCCAUAAAGUAGGCACUUAAAAAAUACUAGGUGAAUGUAGAAGUCACUUGGCCACUCUAAGCCUUAGUUUCCUCACCUGUAAAAUGGCAAUGAUCAUAGUAUAGUUGACCUUUGAAAAACACAAGUUUGAACCAUACUCACUAUGGUGGAUUAUAUGUGGAUUUUUUCCAAUAAGUACAGUACUAUAAAUGUGUUUUCCUUAUGAUUUUCUUAAAAACAUUUUCUUUUCUCUAGCUUACUUUAUUGCAAGAAUACAAUUUAUAAUACAUUUAACAUACAAAAUAUGUGUUAAUCGACUGUUUACAAUGUCAGUAAGGCUUCUGGUCAGUAGGCUAUUAGUAGUUAAAUUUGGGGGAGUCAAAAGUUCUACAAGGAUUUUCUACUGCUAACCUUCUUGUUCAAGGGUCAACUAUACAGUUGAAGAAUUUUAAUUUUGCAAGAUGAAAAAGGUUCUGGAAAUGGAGGGUGGUAAUGGUUGCAGGACAAUAGAAUGUCCUUAAUACCAUGGAAUUGUAUGCUUAAGAAUUAUUAUGAUAGCAAAUUUUAUAUUAUGCAUAUUUCAUAAUAAAAAUAACUUUUAUUUUUUGAA
This is a long non-coding RNA of Canis lupus familiaris (dog), 4463 nucleotides long. RefSeq lists it as uncharacterized. The transcript is spliced from 2 exons. NCBI's taxonomy places the organism in Eukaryota, Metazoa, Chordata, Mammalia, Carnivora, Canidae. The record is from RefSeq and is a predicted model, not a curated record.